RNAcentral lists this ribosomal RNA (434 nucleotides) under uncultured Enterobacter sp. Its description in RNAcentral is "bacterial SSU rRNA". It matches the Rfam family "Bacterial small subunit ribosomal RNA", at positions 958 to 1392 of the family's 1533-position model. The record is from RNAcentral. Lineage: Bacteria; Pseudomonadati; Pseudomonadota; Gammaproteobacteria; Enterobacterales; Enterobacteriaceae.
AACGCGAAGAACCUUACCUACUCUUGACAUCCAGAGAACUUAGCAGAGAUGCUUUGGUGCCUUCGGGAACUCUGAGACAGGUGCUGCAUGGCUGUCGUCAGCUCGUGUUGUGAAAUGUUGGGUUAAGUCCCGCAACGAGCGCAACCCUUAUCCUUUGUUGCCAGCGGUUCGGCCGGGAACUCAAAGGAGACUGCCAGUGAUAAACUGGAGGAAGGUGGGGAUGACGUCAAGUCAUCAUGGCCCUUACGAGUAGGGCUACACACGUGCUACAAUGGCAUAUACAAAGGGAAGCGACCUCGCGAGAGCAAGCGAACCUCACAAAGUAUGUCGUAGUCCGGAUCGGAGUCUGCAACUCGACUCCGUGAAGUCGGAAUCGCUAGUAAUCGUAGAUCAGAAUGCUACGGUGAAUACGUUCCCGGGUCUUGUACACACCG